CCCGUAGCAAUACGGGCAACCGGCGAACGAGUGCGUAACACGUGAGCAACCUACCGAACUGUGGGGGAUAGCCGGCCUAACGGCCGAGUAAUACCGCAUACGCUUUCAGUGAGGCAUUUCAUUGAAAGGAAACCUACGGGACAGAUCGAGGGGCUCGCGGCCUAUCAGCUAGUUGGCGAGGUAACGGCUCACCAAGGCGACGACGGGUAGCUGGUCUGAGAGGAUGGCCAGCCACAUUGGGACUGAGAUACGGCCCAGACUCCUACGGGAGGCAGCAGUGGGGAAUCUUGCGCAAUGGCCUAACGGCUGACGCAGCGACGCCGCGUGUGGGAUGAAGCUCUUCGGAGUGUAAACCACUGUUGCCCGGGACGAAUAGCUCGAUUAAUCGAGCCUGACGGUACCGGGUGAGGAAGCACCGGCUAACUCCGUGCCAGCAGCCGCGGUAAUACGGGGGGUGCGAGCGUUGUCCGGAAUCACUGGGCGUAAAGGGCGCGUAGGUGGUUUGAUAAGGGUGUGGUGAAAGUCCGGGGCUCAACCCCGGAUCUGCCGUGCCGACUGUCAAACUCGAGGGCUGUAGAGGCAGACGGAAUUCCGGGUGUAGCGGUGGAAUGCGUAGAGAUCCGGAGGAAGACCGGUGGCGAAGGCGGUCUGCUGGGCAGUUUCUGACACUGAUGCGCGACAGCGUGGGGAGCAAACAGGAUUAGAUACCCUGGUAGUCCACGCCGUAAACGAUGGGUACUAGGUGCCUGGGGGAGCGACCCUCUGGGUGCCGGCGCUAACGCAGGAAGUACCCCGCCUGGGGAGUACGACCGCAAGGUUGAAACUCAAAGGAAUUGAC
This 838-nucleotide ribosomal RNA is filed under the name uncultured Gemmatimonadota bacterium. Its description in RNAcentral is "bacterial SSU rRNA". It matches the Rfam family "Bacterial small subunit ribosomal RNA", at positions 73 to 914 of the family's 1533-position model. Lineage: Bacteria; Pseudomonadati; Gemmatimonadota. The record is from RNAcentral.